This 286-nucleotide unclassified non-coding RNA is filed under the name uncultured Boletaceae. RNAcentral describes it as "sequence contains ITS2". Lineage: Eukaryota; Fungi; Basidiomycota; Agaricomycetes; Boletales; Boletaceae. The record is from RNAcentral.
AAUCCUCAACCAUGUCUUGAUCGAUUUUGAGACAUGGCUUGGACUUGGGAGGUUGCUGGUGGCGGAAACGCCGUCGGCUCUCCUGAAAUGCAUUAGCAAAGGACGGCGAGUCUCUUUCGACGUGCACGGCCUUCGACGUGAUAAUGAUCGUCGUGGCUGGAGCGUUCGGGGGGGACAUGCAUGAAUGUCGUCCAUCGCUUUCCCUACUAGCCUUUAGGUAGCUCAGCUACUAGUCGGUCGUGAGGCUGACGAACGUCGGGCAGCCAAGGCUGGUCUGUUUGGAAAC